CCAAUAGCGUAUAUUAAAGUUGUUGCAGUUAAAAAGCUCGUAGUUGAAUUUCGGGAUCAAGGAAUCGGUCAUGCCUCGGUAUGUACUGGUUUUAUUGGUUCUCACCUUCUAAAGAACCAUGAUGUCAUUCAUUUGAUGUUAUGGGGAAUUAGGACUGUUACCUUGAAAAAAUUAGAGUGUUUAAAGCAGGCUUACGCUUGAAUACAUUAGCAUGGAAUAAUGAAAUAGGACAUCAGAUUCUAUUUAGUUGGUUUCUAGGAUCGAUGUAAUGAUUAAUAGGGAUAGUUGGGGGCAUUAGUAUUCAAUUGUCAGAGGUGAAAUUCUUGGAUUUAUUGAAGACUAACUACUGCGAAAGCAUUUGCCAAGGAUGUUUUCAUUAAUCAAGAACGAAAGUUAGGGGAUCGAAGACGAUCAGAUACCGUCGUAGUCUUAACCAUAAACUAUGCCGACUAGGGAUCGGAUGAUGUUUAUUUUUUAGUGACUCAUUCGGCACCUUACG
Molecule: ribosomal RNA, 499 nt
Filed under: uncultured Glomeromycotina
Lineage: Eukaryota; Fungi; Glomeromycota
Description: partial small subunit ribosomal RNA
Rfam family: Eukaryotic small subunit ribosomal RNA
Source: RNAcentral